GCGCCAUUAGCUCAAUGGCAGAGCAGCUGACUCUUAAUCAGCGGGUUCGGGGUUCGAGUCCCUGAUGGCGCACCA
RNAcentral lists this transfer RNA (75 nucleotides) under Nostocoides sp. Its description in RNAcentral is "tRNA-Lys". It matches the Rfam family "tRNA". From Rfam's summary of the family: Transfer RNA (tRNA) molecules are approximately 80 nucleotides in length. Their secondary structure includes four short double-helical elements and three loops (D, anti-codon, and T loops). The record is from RNAcentral. Lineage: Bacteria; Bacillati; Actinomycetota; Actinomycetes; Micrococcales; Intrasporangiaceae. RNAcentral also lists the same sequence under 1 other name.